CAAAAUCCAAAUUCAUGAGAAUGAGGAGAAGAUGGCCCUUAACAAAACUGUCCGCAAGAAAGUUUGCGCAUAACUUGUAGAGAUGGCUUAUGCUAAAGCAUACGGGAUCAUCAAAUUACAAAAGUGCAGUUAAAGAAAUCAAAUUCAGAGACAAAAUGAAGUUGCCAUUCCCUGCACUAUAUUCUUCUUACAUAAAGGUGGUUCUGCUGAAGCUGCCGAGAGCCAAGAAGCGCCUUUGGCGGGGAUCUAACAAAGCUCCAGCAGGAGCGGCAGCCCCGUGCGGGGCCGGAGCGGCAGCUCCGAGCGCUCCGGCAUCAUCCACCCCCGCAGUGCCGCUCCGGAUUCGGCCGCAUCCAUCCCGGCAGCAUCCACCCCCGCAGCGCCGCUCCGGAUUCGGCC
Molecule: long non-coding RNA, 399 nt
Filed under: Zonotrichia albicollis (white-throated sparrow)
Lineage: Eukaryota; Metazoa; Chordata; Aves; Passeriformes; Passerellidae
Description: lncRNA (ENSZALG00000010145.1)
Source: RNAcentral